This 464-nucleotide ribosomal RNA is filed under the name uncultured Thermincola sp. Its description in RNAcentral is "bacterial SSU rRNA". It matches the Rfam family "Bacterial small subunit ribosomal RNA", at positions 920 to 1382 of the family's 1533-position model. Lineage: Bacteria; Bacillati; Bacillota; Clostridia; Eubacteriales; Thermincolaceae. The record is from RNAcentral.
CCCGCACAAGCGGUGGAGCAUGUGGUUUAAUUCGACGCAACGCGAAGAACUUACCAGGCUUGACAUCCCCUGACCGCGUAUGAAAGUACGUUUUCACCCUCGGGUGACAGGGAGACAGGUGGUGCAUGGUUGUCGUCAGCUCGUGUCGUGAGAUGUUGGGUUAAGUCCCGCAACGAGCGCAACCCUUAUCUUUAGUUGCCAUCAGGUAAUGCUGGGCACUCUAGAGAGACUGCCGGUGACAAACCGGAGGAAGGUGGGGAUGACGUCAAAUCAUCAUGCCCCUUAUGUCCUGGGCUACACACGUACUACAAUGGCCGGUACAAAGGGCGGCGAAGGGGUGACCUGGAGCAAAUCCCAGCAAAACCGGUCUCAGUUCGGAUUGUAGUCUGCAACUCGACUACAUGAAGUCGGAAUCGCUAGUAAUCGCAGGUCAGCAUACUGCGGUGAAUACGUUCCCGGGCCUU